Molecule: ribosomal RNA, 315 nt
Filed under: uncultured eukaryote
Lineage: Eukaryota
Description: partial large subunit ribosomal RNA
Rfam family: Eukaryotic large subunit ribosomal RNA
Source: RNAcentral
AUAUUAAUAAGGGGAGGAAAAGAAACUAACAAGGAUUCCCUUAGUAACGGCGAGUGAAGUGGGAAAAGCUCAACUUUGAAAUCUGGCAGCUUCGGCUGUCCGAGUUGUAGUCUCGAGAAGCGUUUUCCGUGCUGAAGCAUGCAUGAGUCUGUCGGAAUACAGCGCCAUAGAGGGUGAGAGCCCCGUCUGCGGCAUGCCUUUCAGUGCUUUGUGAUACGCUUUCGAUGAGUCGAGUUGUUUGGGAAUGCAGCUCAAAUUGGGUGGUAAGUUUCAUCUAAAGCUAAAUAUAGGCGAGAGACCGAUAGCGCACAAGUA